RNAcentral lists this ribosomal RNA (465 nucleotides) under uncultured bacterium. Its description in RNAcentral is "partial 16S ribosomal RNA". It matches the Rfam family "Bacterial small subunit ribosomal RNA", at positions 29 to 507 of the family's 1533-position model. The record is from RNAcentral.
AUGCACGCUGGCGGCGUGCUUCACACAUGCAAGUCGAACGAUGAAGCCCAGCUUGCUGGGUGGAUUAGUGGCGAACGGGUGAGUAACACGUGAGUAACCUGCCCUUAACUCUGGGAUAAGCCUGGGAAACUGGGUCUAAUACCGGAUAGGAGCGUCCACCGCAUGGUGGGUGUUGGAAAGAUUUAUCGGUUUUGGAUGGACUCGCGGCCUAUCAGCUUGUUGGUGAGGUAAUGGCUCACCAAGGCGACGACGGGUAGCCGGCCUGAGAGGGUGACCGGCCACACUGGGACUGAGACACGGCCCAGACUCCUACGGGAGGCAGCAGUGGGGAAUAUUGCACAAUGGGCGCAAGCCUGAUGCAGCGACGCCGCGUGAGGGAUGACGGCCUUCGGGUUGUAAACCUCUUUCAGUAGGGAAGAAGCGAAAGUGACGGUACCUGCAGAAGAAGCACCGGCUAACUACGUG